This 340-nucleotide long non-coding RNA is filed under the name Glycine max (soybean). Its description in RNAcentral is "long non-coding RNA (GMAX_LNC001184)". The record is from RNAcentral. Lineage: Eukaryota; Viridiplantae; Streptophyta; Magnoliopsida; Fabales; Fabaceae.
CCUCCAGCUUUGACAGCACAUAUCUGAGUAAGUUGAACAGGUGAGGAAGCAUCAAUUAUGAAGUCACCCUACCCUGGCUAAUAAUAAAAAUCAAUACAAUUCUGUUAUAACUUAAGUGAUGUUUUGCUUUCUGCUUCAGACACACCCGUUGAAGAAGAAUCAGGGGGAUGCAAUUCAAGAAACUUGUUCUGUAAGCAGGGCACCAGAGAAUUUUCUCCAAUUGCAUAUUCAUUGUCAUGUGAUUCCUCUCCAUUAAUACCAAGUUGACCAUCCAUACAGUAGUCAAGGAUGCAGAUGCUAGUACAUAAUAUAAAUUCAACAAACUUCUAGAAGUCAAAAC